AACGAACGCUGGCGGCAGGCCUAAUACAUGCAAGUCGAGCGAGCGGCGGACGGGGGCGUACGGUUUGGGGACCUGCCCGAAAGAGGGGGAUAACUACUGGAAACGGUAGCUAAUACCGUACUCUAGCGGAUGACCCCAUAUGGGAUUAGCUAGUAGGGGAGGUAAUGGCUCACCUAGGCGACGAUCCCUAGCGGAUCUGAGAGGAUGAUCAGCCACACUGGGACUGAGACACGGCCCAGACUCCUACGGGAGGCAGCAGUGGGGAAUAUUGCGCAAUGGACGAAAGCCUGAUGCAGCCAUGCCGCGUGAAUGAAGAAGGCUCUAGGGUUGUAAAGUUCUUUCGGUCGAGAGGCGUUACCGACAGAGGAAGCACCGGCUAACUCCGUGCCAGCAGCCGCGGUAAUAC
RNAcentral lists this ribosomal RNA (406 nucleotides) under uncultured bacterium. RNAcentral describes it as "partial 16S ribosomal RNA". It matches the Rfam family "Bacterial small subunit ribosomal RNA", at positions 29 to 526 of the family's 1533-position model. The record is from RNAcentral.